UUCUUGGCGAGUUUGAUCCUGGCUCAGAGCGAACGCUGGCGGCGUACUUAACACAUGCAAGUCGAACGGGGAGUGUCGGUGUAGCAAUACAUCGGCGCUUCGAGUGGCGCACGGGUGAGUAACACGUGGGUAACCUGCCCUUGAGUUCGGGAUACCCUCUCGAAAGGGAGGCUAAUACCGGAUACGUUCCUCGGGUCGCAAGACUUGGGGAGGAAAGGUAGCGCAAGCUGCCGCUCUUGGAGGGGCUCGCGGCCUAUCAGCUAGUUGGUGAGGUAACGGCUCACCAAGGCGACGACGGGUAGCUGGUCUGAGAGGACGACCAGCCACACGGGGACUGAGACACGGCCCCGACUCCUACGGGAGGCAGCAGUGGGGAAUUUUCCGCAAUGGGCGAAAGCCUGACGGAGUGACGCCGCGUGGGGGACGAAGGCCUUCGGGUUGUAAACCCCUGUCAGAGGGAAAGAAGGGUUCGGGCGUGAAUAGCGCUCGGAUCUGACGGUACCUUCAGAGGAAGCCCCGGCCAACUCUGUGCCAGCAGCCGCGGUAAGACAGAGGGGGCAAGCGUUGCUCGGAAUCACUGGGCGUAAAGGGCGCGUAGGCGGGAUGGCAAGUCGGUCGUGAAAUCCCUCGGCUCAACUGAGGGGGGUCGGCCGAUACUGCCGUUCUUGAGGGAUGCAGAGGAGACUGGAAUUCCCGGUGUAGCGGUGAAAUGUGUAGAGAUCGGGAGGAACACCGGUGGCGAAGGCGGGUCUCUGGGCAUUUCCUGACGCUGAGGCGCGAAAGCGUGGGGAGCAAACGGGAUUAGAUACCCCGGUAGUCCACGCUGUAAACGAUGACGACUAGGUGUGGGGUGGUUCAGUCCAUUCCGUGCCGCAGCUAACGCAUUAAGUCGUCCGCCUGGGGAGUACGGCCGCAAGGUUGAAACUCAAAGGAAUUGACGGGGGCCCGCACAAGCGGUGGAGCAUGUGGUUCAAUUCGAUGCAGAGCGAAGAACCUUACCUGGGCUUGACAUGUAGGAAGUAGGAACCCGAAAGGGGGACGACCUGUUAAGUCAGGAGCCUACACAGGUGGUGCAUGGCUGUCGUCAGCUCGUGCCGUGAGGUGUUGGGUUAAGUCCCGCAACGAGCGCAACCCUCACCCUAUGUUGCCAUCGGUUCGGCCGGGCACUCUUAGGGAACUGCCGGCGAAGAGCUGGAGGAAGGGGGGGAUGACGUCAAGUCCGUAUGCCCUUUAUGCCCAGGGCUACACACAUGCUACAAUGGUCGGUACAGAGGGUUGCCAACCCGCGAGGGGGAGCCAAUCCCAGAAAGCCGAUCUCAGUUCGGAUUGCAGGCUGCAACUCGCCUGCAUGAAGUAGGAAUCGCUAGUAAGCGCAGAUCAGCAGGCUGCGCUGAAUACGUUCCCGGGCCUUGUACACACCGCCCGUCACACCACGAAAGCCAGCUGUACCAGAAGUCACUGCGCCAACCGCAAGGAGGCAGGUGCCCAAGGUAUGGUUGGUGAUUGGGGUGAAGUCGUAACAAGGUAGCCGUAGGGGAACCUGCGGCUGGAUCACCUCCUUUCUAAGG
This 1568-nucleotide ribosomal RNA is filed under the name Candidatus Rokuibacteriota bacterium. RNAcentral describes it as "bacterial SSU rRNA". It matches the Rfam family "Bacterial small subunit ribosomal RNA". Lineage: Bacteria; Candidatus Rokuibacteriota. The record is from RNAcentral.